RNAcentral lists this ribosomal RNA (2240 nucleotides) under Kerria lacca (common lac scale). RNAcentral describes it as "SSU rRNA". It matches the Rfam family "Eukaryotic small subunit ribosomal RNA", at positions 58 to 1395 of the family's 1831-position model. The record is from RNAcentral. Lineage: Eukaryota; Metazoa; Arthropoda; Insecta; Hemiptera; Tachardiidae.
UCUCAGUGCAAGCCGUCCUGUACGGUGAAACCGCGAAAGGCUCAUUAAAUCAGUUAUGGUUCCUUAGAUCGUAUAACCCACGUUACUUGGAUAACUGUGGUAAUUCUAGAGCUAAUACAUGCCGACAAGAGUUCCGACCAGCGUAUUUGUUGUACGGCGACGCGCGACGUCUACUGUCGUCGUCGUCGGCGCUUAAACGUUCGGAAGGAACGCUUUUAUUAGAUCAAAACCGGCCAAGCGAUCGAAUGUUUAUUAAAGUUGGGCGCACCGCAUCGCGCGCGUGCGUCUCCAACAAGUUCGGUCGUAAGUGCCCCGCGCAAAGACUUGACGACUCUGAAUAACUUUGAGCUGAUCGCACGGUCUUCGUACCGGCGACGUAUCUUUCAAAUGUCUGCCUUAUCAACUGUCGACGGUAGGUUCGACGCCUACCGUGGUGGUAACGGGUAACGGGGAAUCAGGGUUCGAUUCCGGAGAGGGAGCCUGAGAAACGGCUACCACAUCCAAGGAAGGCAGCAGGCGCGCAAAUUACCCACUCCCAGCUCGGGGAGGUAGUGACGAAAAAUAACGAUACGGGACUCUUCCGAGGCCCCGUAAUCGGAAUGAGUACACUUUAAAACCUUGGUCACACGAGGAUCAAUUGGAGGGCAAGUCUGGUGCCAGCAGCCGCGGUAAUUCCAGCUCCAAUAGCGUAUAUUAAAGUUGUUGCGGUUAAAAAGCUCGUAGUCGGAUCUGUGUCCUCGCGGCGUCGGACCACUGAGAGUCGUCGCGGUCGGCCCACGCGGUUGACCGUGCACGGCCAGGUGAUAGUUCCCGGCGUGUCAGCGGGACGUCCUGCCGGUAGGCGGACACGCGCCUACGUUUCCGGCUGCGUGUGCCCGACACGCGUGGCCGAGUCUCGCGUGCGAGCGUCGGACAUUAAGUGCGCGCUCGUGCGUGGUUCCGGUUCUUCGCGUUCGCGGCGCGCGUAGUUUUCGGUUCGUUGGUGGCGGCCGCCGUUUUGCAAAAUCCUGUUCGUGCGGAGCGCGGUUCGCGUGCCGAUAAUUUCGGGCGCGGCCGCGUUUUCGUACGGCGGGCCGGCACGUUUACUUUGAACAAAUUAGAGUGCUCAAAGCAGGCUCGAACGUGGCGGUGCGUUUCGCGUAAGUGCGGACGUCUACCGUCGUACAGCCCUGAAUAUGGUCGCAUGGAAUAAUGGAACAAGACCUCGGUCCCGCCUCUACGCUGUCAAAGCGCGUGAAUUCGCCCUCGUGGCGUUUCCGUGCGCGGGUUGCCGGUCAGGGCCCCGCAUUCGCGUCCACGUCGCCCUAGCCAUCCUUCGCGGUGCGCUAUCGGUCUCCGGCGUGGGUUACGCAAUGCCGCGGUAAAACCCUGAUCGUUGGUCGGUUUUCGGGACCGGAGGUAAUGAUCAACAGAGACAGGCGUGGGCAUUCGUACCGCGACGUUAGAGGUGAAAUUCUUGGAUCGUCGCGAGACGAACCGAAGCGAAAGCAUUUGCCAAGUAUGUUCUCGUCUGAUCAAGAACGAAAGUUAGAGGUUCGAAGGCGAUCAGAUACCGCCCUAGUUCUAACCGUAAACGAUGCCAGCUAGCGAUCCGCCGGAGUUCCUCCGAUGACCCGGCGGGCAGCUUCCGGGAAACCGAAGCUUUUCGGUUCCGGGGGAAGUAUGGUUGCAAAGCUGAAACUUAAAGGAAUUGACGGAAGGGCACCACCAGGAGUGGAGCCUGCGGCUUAAUUUGACUCAACACGGGAAACCUCACCAGGCCCGGACACUGGAAAGAUUGACAGAUUAAGAGCUCUUUCUUGAUUCGGUGGGUGGUGGUGCAUGGCCGUUCUUAGUUGGUGGAGCGAUCUGUCUGGUUAAUUCCGAUAACGAACGAGACUCUGUCCUGCUAACUAGGCGGGUUCCUCGUCGCCCACGGAUCUGCGUGCGGCGUUACGGCCGCGUGUGGCUUUUAUUAGACGCGCGUGCGUCGGGCGCUGUGCGUACCGUGGUCACCGACGAACCGGUAUCCCCGAACGUGGUUGGCCGUCGUCAACGACGCGUCGUUGGUCGUCGCGGGUCGCUGGUCGUCCGAACGUUCUUCCUCGUUGCGUGGGUGCGCGCGCGUGCGUCCUCUUUUUAGCUCGUGCUCGUGUGAGCGCGCGCGUGUGUGUCGUCGUACGUGUGUAUUUAUGCGCGGGCGGCGAUGUUCGCGUUCGCGUUAGCGCGUGUACGGGUCGAGAGGACGUGUGUGUGUGUGU